GAUGAACGCUGGCGGCGUGCUUAACACAUGCAAGUCGAACGGUGAAGCAGAGCUUGCUCUGUGGAUCAGUGGCGAACGGGUGAGUAACACGUGAGCAAUCUGCCCCGGACUCUGGGAUAACAGUUGGAAACAGCUGCUAAUACUGGAUACGAGCUAGGGAGGCAUCUCCAUUAGCUGGAAAGAAUUUCGCUAUAGGAUUGGUUCGCGCCCUAUCAGCUUGUUGGUGAGGCAACGGCUCACCAAGGCUACUACGGGUACCUGGUCUGAGAGGACGAUCAGGCACACUGGAACUGAGACACGGUCCAGACACCUACGGGUGGCAGCAGUCGAGAAUAAUUCACAAUGGGGGCAACCCUGAUGGUGCAACGCCGCGUGGAGGAUGAAGGUCUUCGGAUUGUAAACUCCUGUCAUCUGGGAGUAAGGCGUGGAUGUUAACAGCAUACACGAUUGAUAGUACCAGAAGAGGAAGGGACGGCUAACUUCGUGCCAGCAGCCGCAGUAA
RNAcentral lists this ribosomal RNA (502 nucleotides) under uncultured bacterium. RNAcentral describes it as "partial 16S ribosomal RNA". It matches the Rfam family "Bacterial small subunit ribosomal RNA", at positions 28 to 523 of the family's 1533-position model. The record is from RNAcentral.